UCACAGUUCUGUGUAUUGAUUGGUUGGGC
This 29-nucleotide non-coding RNA is filed under the name Mus musculus (house mouse). Lineage: Eukaryota; Metazoa; Chordata; Mammalia; Rodentia; Muridae. The record is from RNAcentral.